This 594-nucleotide ribosomal RNA is filed under the name Saccharomyces cerevisiae (brewer's yeast). Its description in RNAcentral is "partial large subunit ribosomal RNA". It matches the Rfam family "Eukaryotic large subunit ribosomal RNA", at positions 48 to 656 of the family's 3401-position model. Lineage: Eukaryota; Fungi; Ascomycota; Saccharomycetes; Saccharomycetales; Saccharomycetaceae. The record is from RNAcentral.
AAACGGAGGAAAAGAAACCAACCGGGAUUGCCUUAGUAACGGCGAGUGAAGCGGCAAAAGCUCAAAUUUGAAAUCUGGUACCUUCGGUGCCCGAGUUGUAAUUUGGAGAGGGCAACUUUGGGGCCGUUCCUUGUCUAUGUUCCUUGGAACAGGACGUCAUAGAGGGUGAGAAUCCCGUGUGGCGAGGAGUGCGGUUCUUUGUAAAGUGCCUUCGAAGAGUCGAGUUGUUUGGGAAUGCAGCUCUAAGUGGGUGGUAAAUUCCAUCUAAAGCUAAAUAUUGGCGAGAGACCGAUAGCGAACAAGUACAGUGAUGGAAAGAUGAAAAGAACUUUGAAAAGAGAGUGAAAAAGUACGUGAAAUUGUUGAAAGGGAAGGGCAUUUGAUCAGACAUGGUGUUUUGUGCCCUCUGCUCCUUGUGGGUAGGGGAAUCUCGCAUUUCACUGGGCCAGCAUCAGUUUUGGUGGCAGGAUAAAUCCAUAGGAAUGUAGCUUGCCUCGGUAAGUAUUAUAGCCUGUGGGAAUACUGCCAGCUGGGACUGAGGACUGCGACGUAAGUCAAGGAUGCUGGCAUAAUGGUUAUAUGCCGCCCGUCUUG